GUGGGGAAUCUUCCGCAAUGGACGAAAGUCUGACGGAGCAACGCCGCGUGAGUGAAGAAGGUUUUCGGAUCGUAAAGCUCUUUCGUUAGGGACGAACGUGCUCUUUGUGAAUAAUGAGGAGUAAUGACGGUACCUAAAUAAGAAGCCACGGCUAACUACGUGCCAGCAGCCGUGGUAAUACGUAGGUGGCAAGCGUUGUCCGGAAUUAUUGGGCGUAAAGCGCGCGCAGGCGGGAUAUCAAGUCUGUCUUAAAAGUGCGAGGCUCAACCUCGUGAGGAGACAGAAACUGGUAUUCUUGAGUGUCGGAGAGGAAAGUGGAAUUCCAAGUGUAGCGGUGAAAUGCGUAGAGAUUUGGAAGAACACCAGUGGCGAAGGCGACUUUCUGGACGAUGUCUGACGCUGAGGCGCGAAAGCUAGGGGAGCGAACGGGAUUAGAUACCCUAGUAGUCC
Molecule: ribosomal RNA, 450 nt
Filed under: uncultured bacterium
Lineage: Bacteria
Description: partial 16S ribosomal RNA
Rfam family: Bacterial small subunit ribosomal RNA
Source: RNAcentral